This 116-nucleotide ribosomal RNA is filed under the name Pogona vitticeps (central bearded dragon). Lineage: Eukaryota; Metazoa; Chordata; Lepidosauria; Squamata; Agamidae. The record is from RNAcentral.
UCUGCUCAGGAUUACAAUGGUGCUACCAAUCCCAUCUGAUUGUGGAAGCUAAACAGGGUGAGUCCUCGUUAGUACUCAGAAGGAAAGCCACCAGGGAAUACUAGGGAUCCCCAGAU